GCGAGGGUGGCGGAAAGGCAGACGCGCCAGAUUUAGGAUCUGGUGGGGCAAUCCCGUGCGGGUUCAACUCCCGCCCCUCGCA
Molecule: transfer RNA, 82 nt
Filed under: bacterium
Lineage: Bacteria
Description: tRNA-Leu
Rfam family: tRNA
About the family: Transfer RNA (tRNA) molecules are approximately 80 nucleotides in length.
Source: RNAcentral